GACCUUGGGAAAGAAAUCUGUAUCAGACAUGUGGGCUUCAUUAAGGGAAAUGCCUUCAGAAGAUUAUUUUUCCAUGUUAUGAGAAAAAAUCUGAACAAAAAUGUACGUAUUCAAGAAUUAAGAGAAAAAAGAGAGUCUGCAGAGGACAAAGACUUUUCCAGAGCAAGUCGUUGCUGAAGAGGAAAGUCAAAAGCUACCAAAUGAAUCAACCUGACAACGUGGCUAGCUAGUUGUGUGACCUUGGGCACAAAUACCCUAUCUGAUUUUAAUCUUCUCACAAGUAAAAGGACGGCUCUUUUAGAGUCUUUUAAUGCUCUACA
This is a long non-coding RNA of Sapajus apella (tufted capuchin), 320 nucleotides long. RefSeq lists it as uncharacterized. The transcript is spliced from 2 exons. The record is from RefSeq and is a predicted model, not a curated record. Lineage: Eukaryota; Metazoa; Chordata; Mammalia; Primates; Cebidae.